AUUGAACGCUGGCGGCAGGCCUAACACAUGCAAGUCGAGCGGAUGAAGGGAGCUUGCUCCUGGAUUCAGCGGCGGACGGGUGAGUAAUGCCUAGGAAUCUGCCUGGUAGUGGGGGAUAACGUCCGGAAACGGGCGCUAAUACCGCAUACGUCCUGAGGGAGAAAGUGGGGGAUCUUCGGACCUCACGCUAUCAGAUGAGCCUAGGUCGGAUUAGCUAGUUGGUGGGGUAAAGGCCUACCAAGGCGACGAUCCGUAACUGGUCUGAGAGGAUGAUCAGUCACACUGGAACUGAGACACGGUCCAGAAUCCUACGGGAGGCAGCAGUGGGGAAUAUUGGACAAUGGGCGAAAGCCUGAACCAGCCAUGCCGCGUGUGUGAAGAAGGUCUUCGGAUUGUAAAGCACUUUAAGUUGGGAGGAAGGGCAGUAAGUUAAUACCUUGCUGUUUUGACGUUACCAACAGAAUAAGCACCGGCUAACUUCGUG
This 484-nucleotide ribosomal RNA is filed under the name uncultured bacterium. Its description in RNAcentral is "partial 16S ribosomal RNA". It matches the Rfam family "Bacterial small subunit ribosomal RNA", at positions 30 to 507 of the family's 1533-position model. The record is from RNAcentral.